RNAcentral lists this transfer RNA (70 nucleotides) under Marmota monax (woodchuck). It matches the Rfam family "tRNA". Rfam says of the family: Transfer RNA (tRNA) molecules are approximately 80 nucleotides in length. Their secondary structure includes four short double-helical elements and three loops (D, anti-codon, and T loops). Lineage: Eukaryota; Metazoa; Chordata; Mammalia; Rodentia; Sciuridae. The record is from Rfam by way of RNAcentral. RNAcentral also lists the same sequence under 2 other names.
GGGGAUAUAGCUCAGUUGGUAGAGUGCUUGCCUUUCAUGCACAAGGCCCUGGGUUCAAUCCUCAGCACCA